GACGAACGCUGGCGGCGUGCUUAACACAUGCAAGUCGAACGGAAAGGCCCUGCUUUUGUGGGGUGCUCGAGUGGCGAACGGGUGAGUAACACGUGAGUAACCUGCCCUUGACUUUGGGAUAACUUCAGGAAACUGGGGCUAAUACCGGAUAGGAGCUCCUGCUGCAUGGUGGGGGUUGGAAAUUUUCGGCGGUUGGGGAUGGACUCGCGGCUUAUCAGCUUGUUGGUGGGGUAGUGGCUUACCAAGGCUUUGACGGGUAGCCGGCCUGAGAGGGUGACCGGCCACAUUGAGACUGAGAUACGGCCCAGACUCCUACGGGAGGCAGCAGUGGGGAAUAUUGCACAAUGGGCGGAAGCCUGAUGCAGCAACGCCGCGUGCGGGAUGACGGCCUUCGGGUUGUAAACCGCUUUCGCCUGUGACGAAGCGUGAGUGACGGUAAUGGGUAAAGAAGCACCGGCUAACUACGUG
RNAcentral lists this ribosomal RNA (468 nucleotides) under uncultured bacterium. RNAcentral describes it as "partial 16S ribosomal RNA". It matches the Rfam family "Bacterial small subunit ribosomal RNA", at positions 28 to 507 of the family's 1533-position model. The record is from RNAcentral.